UCUACGGGAGGCAGCAGUGGGGGAUAUUGCACAAUGGGGGGAACCCUGAUGCAGCGACGCCGCGUGGGUGAAGAAGCGCCUCGGCGCGUAAAGCCCUGUCAGCAGGGAAGAAAAUGACGGUACCUGAAGAAGAAGCCCCGGCUAACUACGUGCCAGCAGCCGCGGUAAUACGGAGGGGGCAGGCGUUAGGCGGAUUUCCUGGGUGGAAAGGGGGCGCAGACGGCGAUGCAAGGCAGGAGUGAAAGCCCGGGGCCCAACCCCGGGACUGCUCUUGGAACUGCGUGGCUGGAGUGGAGGAGGGGCAGGCGGAAUUCCUGGUGUAGCGGUGAACUGCGUAGAUAUCAGGAGGAACACCGGUGGCGAAGGCGGCCUGCUGGACUGCAACUGACGUUGAGGCCCGAAAGCGUGGGGAGCAAACAGGAUUAGAUACCCGAGUAGUC
RNAcentral lists this ribosomal RNA (440 nucleotides) under uncultured bacterium. RNAcentral describes it as "partial 16S ribosomal RNA". It matches the Rfam family "Bacterial small subunit ribosomal RNA", at positions 338 to 795 of the family's 1533-position model. The record is from RNAcentral.